ACCGCCCCCCUCCCGCGCGGCGCAAACAUGGCGGCGGCUGGCACCGGCCGCUGAGGCGGUAACCCGGCGGGGGCUGUUGGUUGUCAUGGGCGGCGACGGCGGCACCGCCCCCGCGUCUCCCUGAGCGGGACGGCAGAGGAGGCGUGGGGCUUGGGGGGGUGGUCUUCUGCGCCGAGCCGGGCGAUGGACGGAAGCGGCGAGCUGGGCGGUCUGGAGACCAUGGAGACGCUGACGGAGCUGGGCGACGAGCUGACCCUGGGGGACAUCGACGAGAUGCUGCAGUUUGUCAGCAAUCAAGUGGGCGAGUUCCCUGACUUGUUCUCAGAGCCUCUCUGCGGCUCCUUCCCCGGCGGUGGCGGUGGCGGUGGCGGCGGCGGUGGCGGCGGCGGUGGCGGCGGCAGCAGCAGCAGCGGUGGUGGAGCUGGGAGCGGGGACCCCUCCGGGCAGCGGCCUUUCAGUCAGGUCCCGCUGCCGGCCUUCUCCCCCUCGGCCACCUCCCCGCAGGCUGCAACCCUCCAGGUCAAGGCGCCCGCCGCCUCGGGUCCCACCCAGCCAAGGGCGGCCCCGGUUCUGCAGCCCCGCCCCCAGCCGCAGCCCCCGCCCCCUGCCCCGCUGCCGCCGCAGACCGUCAUGAUCACCCCGACCUUCAGCACCGCUCCGCAGACGAGGAUCAUCCAGCAGCCCGUCAUCUACCAGAAUGCAGCUACCAGCUUUCAAGUCCUUCAGCCGCAAGUUCAGAGCCUAGUGACCUCCUCCCAGGUGCAGCCAGUCACCAUCCAGCAGCAGGUGCAGACGGUGCAGGCCCAGCGGGUGCUGACGCAGACGGCCAAUGGCACGCUGCAGACCCUGGCCCCGGCCACGGUGCAGACAGUGGCUGCGCCCCAGGUGCAGCAGGUCCCGGUCCUGGUACAGCCUCAGAUCAUCAAGACAGACUCCCUUGUCCUGACCACACUGAAGACAGAUGGCAGCCCUGUGAUGGCCGCAGUCCAGAACCCCGCCCUCACUGCCCUCACCACCCCCAUCCAGACAGCUGCCCUGCAAGUUCCGACCCUGGUGGGCAGCAAUGGGACCAUUCUGACCACGAUGCCUGUGAUGAUGGGACAAGAGAAAGUGCCCAUUAAGCAGGUCCCCGGGGGAGUCAAGCAGCUCGAGCCUCCCAAGGAAGGAGAAAGGCGGACGACACACAACAUCAUCGAGAAGCGGUAUCGCUCCUCCAUCAACGACAAAAUCAUUGAGUUGAAGGACCUGGUCAUGGGGACUGAUGCCAAGAUGCACAAGUCUGGCGUUCUGAGGAAGGCCAUUGACUACAUCAAAUACUUGCAGCAGGUCAAUCAUAAACUGCGCCAGGAGAACAUGGUGCUGAAACUGGCAAAUCAGAAGAACAAACUCCUGAAGGGCAUCAACCUGGGCAGCCUGGUGGACAAUGACAUGGACCUGAAGAUCGAUGACUUUAAUCAGAAUGUCCUUCUGAUGUCGCCUCCGGCCUCCGACUCAGGGUCCCAGGCCGGCUUCUCCCCCUACUCCAUCGACUCAGAGCCGGGAAGCCCUCUACUGGAUGAUGCAAAGGUCAAAGAUGAGCCAGACUCUCCUCCCGUCGCGCUGGGCAUGGUGGACCGCUCUCGUAUCCUGCUGUGUGUCCUCACCUUCCUCUGCCUCUCCUUUAACCCCCUGACCGCUCUGCUGCAGUGGGGCGGGGCCCACGACGCAGACCAGCACCCGCACUCAGGCCCUGGCCGCAGCAUGCUGUCGCUCGAGUCAGGCUCCAGGGGCUGGCUCGACUGGAUGAUGCCGACGCUGCUCCUGUGGCUGGUGAAUGGCGUGAUCGUGCUGAGCGUCUUUGUGAAGCUGCUGGUUCAUGGGGAGCCGGUGAUCCGGCCGCACUCGCGCUCCUCAGUCACCUUCUGGAGGCACCGGAAGCAGGCAGACCUGGACCUCGCCCGGGGGGACUUUGCCGCGGCUGCGGCCAAUCUGCAGACCUGCCUGUCGGUGCUGGGCCGGGCCCUGCCCACCUCCCGCCUGGACCUGGCCUGUAGCCUCUCCUGGAACGUGAUCCGCUACAGCCUGCAGAAGCUGCGCCUGGUGCGCUGGCUGCUCAAGAAGGUCUUCCAGCACCGGCGGGCCGCCCCAGCCACUGCUGCGGGCUUUGAGGAGGAAGCGAAGACCAGCGCCCGGGACGCAGCCCUGGCCUACCACAGGCUGCACCAGCUGCACAUCACAGGCAAGCUUCCCGUGGGAUCUGCCUGUUCUGACGUACACAUGGCCUUGUGUGCGGUGAACCUGGCUGAAUGUGCCGAGGAGAAGAUCCCACCGAGCACGCUGGUGGAGAUCCACCUGACUGCUGCCAUGGGGCUCAAGACCAGGUGUGGAGGCAAGCUGGGCUUCCUGGCGAGCUACUUCCUCAGCCGCGCCCAGAGCCUGUGUGGCCCCGAGCGCAGUGCCGUCCCCGACUCGCUGCGCUGGCUCUGCCAUCCCCUGGGCCAGAAGUUUUUCAUGGAGCGGAGCUGGUCGGUGAAGUCGGCUGCCAAGGAGAGUCUGUACUGUGCACAGAGGAACCCAGCCGACCCCAUUGCCCAGGUGCACCAGGCCUUCUGUAAGAACCUGCUGGAGCGAGCUGUGGAGUCCUUGGUAAAACCUCAGGCCAAGAAGAAAGCUGCAGACCAGGAAGAGGAGAGCUGUGAAUUCUCCAGUGCUCUCGAAUACCUGAAAUUACUUAACUCUUUUGUGGACUCCGUGGGGAUUGUGACCCCCCCCUUCUCUAGCAGCUCCGUGCUCAAGUCGGCCCUUGGCCCAGACGUCGUCUGUCGGUGGUGGACGUCCGCCAUCACCAUGGCCAUCAGCUGGCUCCAGGGAGAUGACGCUGCUGUGCGCACUCACUUCACUGAAGUGGAGCGAGUCCCCCAGGCCCUGGAAGUGACAGAGAGCCCCCUGGUGAAGGCCAUCUUCCACACCUGCAGAGCCAUGCACGCCUCGCUCUCUGGGAAGGCAGACGGGCAGCAGAGUUCCUUCUGCCACUGCGAGAGGGCCAGUGGCCACUUGUGGAGCAGCCUCAACGUCAGUGGGGCCACCUAUGACCCUGACCUCAACCAUGUGGUCCAGCUGCUGACCUGUGACCUGCUCCUGUCGCUGCGGACAGCGCUGUGGCAGAAGCAGGCCGGAGCCAGCCAAGCCCUGGGGGAAACCUACCACGCAUCGGGCGCCGAGCUGGCUGGCUUCCAGCGGGAUCUGGGCAGCCUGCGCAGGCUGGCACACAGCUUCCGCCCGGCCUACCGCAAGGUGUUCCUGCAUGAAGCCACCGUGCGCCUGAUGGCGGGAGCCAGCCCCACCCGCACCCACCAGCUGCUGGAGCACAGCCUGCGCCGGCGCACGGCUCAGAACGCCAAGCACGGAGAGGCGGACGCCUGGCCCGGACAGCGAGAGCGGGCCACUGCCAUCCUCCUGGCCUGCCGCCACCUCCCCCUCUCCUUCCUGUCCUCCCCGGGCCAGCGGGCCGUGCUGCUGGCUGAGGCUGCCCGCACCCUGGAGAAGGUGGGCGACCGGCGCUCAUGCAACGACUGCCAGCAGAUGAUUGUCAAGCUGGGGGGCGGCACCGCCAUCGCCGCCUCCUGACCACGGGGCUCUGCCCACCUCGGUCGCCGCCUCCCUUGGUCACUCUCCAGUUCCCUCUGUCUCUGAGUCUCCUCUGUCUCUGAGUCUCUCCCUCCUCCCUCUGUCUCUCUCUCCUCCCUCCGUCUCUCUCCCUCCUCCUCUCUCUCUGAGUCUCUCCCUCCUCCCUCUGUCUCUCCCUCUUUGUUUGUCUCUCAGUCUCUGCCUCCUCCUCUGUCUCUUGUGUCUCUCUCCUCUUCCCUGUGGGAGCUGAGGGACAAACCUUGGCUUUGGAGCGGUCACCUGCCGAGGCUUCUGGACCACCUCUGGCUAGUGGGCCCCUGGGAGCUGCUGCGGAGAGAGGCCCCAGUGGGCCUGAGCGGGAAAGAUAGGGCGGGCAGGAAAUGGGGGUUCCCUGACUUGAAAGUGGCAGGGGGAGCUCCCAGGCUGCCCAGUCCCACCUCCAGCCCUCCCAGGACUCUUUUUUUCCUCUGAAAAUCUCCCCACUCCCUUUUCCUGCUUCCUUGUUUUUUUUUUAAUCAGGCUUUCCCUCUGCGGGACAUAGGUCUCUGGGCACCAUGCGCUCCACACGUGGCGCUGUGCCCAGCACACCCCCCUUUUAUAUGAAUGUUUUUAUAUCUGUGUGCUUGGAGUUGCCGUGAUGCAAGGCUGAGUUGCUGUGGCAUCUUUAUUUCUCUCCCCGGGUCCACGUCCCCUCCCCUGUACCUGACAAAGUGAAUUCAUUGUUUUCUCUUCAUUACACAGGACAGCCAGGGGAGGAGCGAGCCCAGCCCUGGGGAGGUGGGUGGGAGGCGGGGGGCAGGCUUGGGGAUGGGUGAAAUUGUGUUGGCAUUAUUUUUUAAUUUUUUUAAAAAAUAAAUGGUCUUAUUUAAUUGUCCUGUUCCUUCCCACUCCCCCGCCCCCUGGGAUGUCAGCCCAGUCUCGGGGUACACCCCCAGGGGGCUGGGAGAGAGAGUCACCCACCAGGACUGAGGACCAGGGGCCUUCAGUGUGGGUUCUCCGCUCUCUUGGGCUCCCUCCCACCCCAACUCCUACCUCCACGGUCUAUUUUUAUCCCUAAUUCUUGACCUGAACAUAAGCCAGGCUGGCAGGGACCAGACCCCAACCCGUCCCCAGACAAGCCCCUUUUUGAGGUGGGCACAGGGUUGCCCGAGGUGGGUACUAGGAUCAAAGCCCCCUUCCUUGAGGGGGUCCUGUGAGGAAGAGUGGCCCCACUUUUCUGGAUGCCCAGGCUUGGCAUCUACCUGGGGCCUGAGGGCUGCCUGGCACCCGGGGCCUGCGGGGAGGCCAGGAGGGGCUGCCCUCCUCCCUCCCUGUGCCUCUCACCCCCUUGGGCUGGUUGGGGCAGAAAGUGGGCAGGGGCCCCAGCACAGACUGAGGGUACAAACAGCAAGGGCUCCCCUCAUGCCGAGAGCAGGCUUCACCCACGAGCUUGGACCUCACCCACUUUUUCUCUUCUGCCCCCACCUUAAUUUAUGGCCCCUGCCCCCUGGGUGAGCCAGCCUUUGUGUCAUGUGUAUAUACCGUGCCUUUUCUCAUGAUGGUUUCGGGGGGGAGGGGGUGGGUUUUUCACUGAAACGUGGGCAAUGCCUGUGGCUUCCUUGAUAUGGAAUCAUUCACUGUGUCCUGGAUGUAGGUUAUUGAAUAAACACAGAUUGGUACCACCUGG
RNA transcript from Cervus elaphus (red deer), 5272 nucleotides. It is a transcript of the gene named sterol regulatory element binding transcription factor 2, with no coding region annotated. The record is from RefSeq and is a predicted model, not a curated record. The transcript has 20 exons. NCBI's taxonomy places the organism in Eukaryota, Metazoa, Chordata, Mammalia, Artiodactyla, Cervidae.